RNAcentral lists this ribosomal RNA (251 nucleotides) under uncultured Gardnerella sp. Its description in RNAcentral is "partial 16S ribosomal RNA". It matches the Rfam family "Bacterial small subunit ribosomal RNA", at positions 103 to 355 of the family's 1533-position model. Lineage: Bacteria; Bacillati; Actinomycetota; Actinomycetes; Bifidobacteriales; Bifidobacteriaceae. The record is from RNAcentral.
CGGGUGAGUAAUGCGUGACCAACCUGCCCCAUGCUCCAGAAUAGCUCUUGGAAACGGGUGGUAAUGCUGGAUGCUCCAACUUGACGCAUGUCUUGUUGGGAAAGUGUUUAGUGGCAUGGGAUGGGGUCGCGUCCUAUCAGCUUGUAGGCGGGGUAAUGGCCCACCUAGGCUUCGACGGGUAGCCGGCCUGAGAGGGCGGACGGCCACAUUGGGACUGAGAUACGGCCCAGACUCCUACGGGAGGCAGCAGC